AACCACCUUCCCGCAAAUGCUAACAGGAUCAGGAUCAGGAUCUUGUCAUCUCCUCAAAUGGGUCUGCUAAAUCAUGGGCCUUUCUAUGCUGGCAGAUAUGUCGUUGGGUUCCUUUAUAACUCAUUACCCAAAAGUUUUCUGCUUUCCCGAGGGUUUGAUCGCUCUCCCCCUUCCUUUCAUCUACUUGAGACGAUUUCUGGACGCUGCAUUUCGUUGAAGCUUUAAGGAAAAAGGAGGUAUUGCCCAUCUCUGACAGUAUAUGUCAUGAAUAGAAAUGUGUCACUAUCAGCCUUGGGAAGUUGAUUCAUCACAAGUUGAAGAGUCUUCACCUGUGAGAAAUGGCAUGGAACGGGUCGAUGCAAGGUGGGAGACACAGAUGGUGAUGUUGGAGGCACGGAUUGCAAAUGUUGAAGCUCGGGUUGAAAGGCUUGAGGCAAGGAUGUUGUAUUUGCAAAAAGGAAUGCGUAUAGUAUGUGGUUUGUUUUUGGUCACUCUUGCAUAUGCUAUAUGCAAAUAAUUAGUUUUAGGCUUCCGCUUGUGUUUCUCAUAAUUAGAUGUGUAUUUUAAAAGGUUCUUUGUAUAAAAUUCAGAUUUUUCAUUCCAACGUGAAAAUAAGGUGGCCAUUUUGUGAUGCUGUUGUUGAUUUGUAGAGAGAAAUGAUGCAAUACAAGAUUGAGAAAUGUGAAAUGUAAACUAUGUGAAUCGUGCUCUGGGUGCCUCAAUUUACAAGAUUUGUUCAAUUCUA
Molecule: long non-coding RNA, 745 nt
Organism: Manihot esculenta (cassava)
Lineage: Eukaryota; Viridiplantae; Streptophyta; Magnoliopsida; Malpighiales; Euphorbiaceae
Exons: 2
Source: RefSeq, a predicted model, not a curated record